RNAcentral lists this ribosomal RNA (305 nucleotides) under uncultured bacterium. RNAcentral describes it as "bacterial SSU rRNA". It matches the Rfam family "Bacterial small subunit ribosomal RNA", at positions 337 to 634 of the family's 1533-position model. The record is from RNAcentral.
UCCUACGGGAGGCAGCAGUGGGGAAUCUUCCGCAAUGGGCGCAAGCCUGACGGAGCAAUGCCGCGUGAACGAAGAAGGUCUUCGGAUUGUAAAGUUCUGUCCUUAUCGAAGAGAGGGUAUAGAGUGAAAAAUGAUAUACUAGGACGGUAGAUGAGGAGGAAGCCCCGGCUAACUACGUGCCAGCAGCCGCGGUAAUACGUAGGGGGCGAGCGUUGUCCGGAAUCACUGGGCGUAAAGGGCGCGUAGGCGGACUGGAAAGUCAGCGGUAAAAUCGAGAGGCUCAACCUCUUUCCGCCGUUGAAACU